GAGGGUAUAGCUCAAGUGGUAGAGCACACACUUAGCAUGCAUAUGGUUCUGGGUUCAAUCCCCAGUACCUCCU
Camelus ferus (Wild Bactrian camel) is the source of this 73-nucleotide transfer RNA. It matches the Rfam family "tRNA". Rfam says of the family: Transfer RNA (tRNA) molecules are approximately 80 nucleotides in length. Their secondary structure includes four short double-helical elements and three loops (D, anti-codon, and T loops). Lineage: Eukaryota; Metazoa; Chordata; Mammalia; Artiodactyla; Camelidae. The record is from Rfam.